UAGGGAGACCUAAUCCAUUUAGAAAUCGAAAACAAUGAAAAUUGUCAAUAGAAACUAAAUUGGUCUAACCUAGGUCGUUCGAGAUUGGUAGACAUCUUUCAAAGUAUUAUUCGGCUUCGUUCAAAACCAUAUAUAAUAAAUGGAAAAAGACGGCACCUAAUUGUCAAAGUUAGACUGCUGGAUGAAGUUCCAGCCAGAACCUUGAAAACUGCAUAAGAGAACAAGAAAAAGCAGGCAGACACAGACAUUUAGAUGGAUGUGGAAGCAAAAGAAAUUGU
RNAcentral lists this unclassified non-coding RNA (278 nucleotides) under uncultured Anabaena sp. Its description in RNAcentral is "partial 16S-23S ribosomal RNA intergenic spacer". Lineage: Bacteria; Bacillati; Cyanobacteriota; Cyanophyceae; Nostocales; Nostocaceae. The record is from RNAcentral.